GCAUAUCCUUGAUUAUUGGCCUCAUCAAAAAUGUAUUUGCUCACCAGAAGAUUUUGAAGUAUGCUCAGACCAGAACGAAUCAUUGUGUCGUGGGAAGUCCAUUCUGCACCCAUGCUGAAAAGCCACCCUGGAUGUCCGUGAUGCUCGUAAAUCCAUCAGAUAAAAGCUCAUUUGCAGCCAUGAAAGAUCUUUUCCCACUUAAGCAUCCCACAAUUAUCUCAUCAUCCUUGCCAAA
RNAcentral lists this unclassified non-coding RNA (235 nucleotides) under Hevea brasiliensis (rubber tree). The record is from RNAcentral. Lineage: Eukaryota; Viridiplantae; Streptophyta; Magnoliopsida; Malpighiales; Euphorbiaceae.